UAACGUUCUCAGGGCGGGGUGCAAUUCCCCACCGGCGGUAAUGGCGGCUCCGGCCGCCUAGCCCGCGAGCGGCCCGGUUUCGGAGCGUGGUCAGGAAAGUGGUCGCCGGUUUUCCGGUUCGACCGCGCGACCAGCAAAGAGCCGGGUGUCAGCAGAUUGGGUGCGAUUCCCAGGCCGACGGUCACAGUCCGGAUGAAAGAGAAUGGGC
This 208-nucleotide non-coding RNA is filed under the name Devosia sp. RNAcentral describes it as "FMN sequence". It matches the Rfam family "FMN riboswitch aptamer (RFN element)". From Rfam's summary of the family: The RFN element is a highly conserved domain that is found frequently in the 5'-untranslated regions of prokaryotic mRNAs that encode for flavin mononucleotide (FMN) biosynthesis and transport proteins. This element is a metabolite-dependent riboswitch that directly binds FMN in the absence of proteins. In Bacillus subtilis, the riboswitch most likely controls gene expression by causing premature transcription termination within the 5' untranslated region of the ribDEAHT operon and precluding access to the ribosome-binding site of ypaA mRNA. Lineage: Bacteria; Pseudomonadati; Pseudomonadota; Alphaproteobacteria; Hyphomicrobiales; Devosiaceae. The record is from RNAcentral.